Molecule: regulatory RNA element, 149 nt
Rfam family: radC RNA
Source: Rfam
CGCUCACUGCCAUGUUCUGCUGACUUGCGUCAGCAACAUGCCCAGGUCGUCACGGUCUUCAAGACGACGACGCGGUUCCGACCGCGUUGAUCACCCCAGUUCGCACCGGCAUCCAUGCGCGAACGGCCAUCGGUUCUCGAUGGCGAUGC